UGUGCGUGUGCUUGCUCGAGUGUGAGCUCACUAGGGUGGCAGAUCACCAGUGUGGAGCUUGAGUGCCUGUGUGAUCCCCAAUGAACUGAGCCAGAUUCUCCUGCCUAAGUCAUCUGUCCAGAUCCUGGUGUGUGUGGGUAUUUUGCCUACAUUUAUGUCAAAUCACAUGCUUGUCUGUGCCAGCAGAGGCAGAAGAGGGCAUCCGAUCCCUUUGAACCGGAGUCUGAGCGGGUGUAAGCCCUCGUGUGCUUGCCGGGAACCAAGCCCCAGUCCUCUGGGGAGCAGCAGUGCUCUUAACUGCAGAGUCACCUCUCCAGCCCCCUCGUCAGAGACCUGUUACAGUUUUGUCUUCAAGACACUUGUAGGGGUUGGGGAUUUAGCUCAGUGGUAGAGCGCUUGCCUAGCAAGCGCAAGGCCCAGGGUUCGGU
RNAcentral lists this long non-coding RNA (428 nucleotides) under Rattus norvegicus (Norway rat). RNAcentral's name for it is "long non-coding RNA NONRATT010336". Lineage: Eukaryota; Metazoa; Chordata; Mammalia; Rodentia; Muridae. The record is from RNAcentral.